Molecule: long non-coding RNA, 2101 nt
Filed under: Jatropha curcas
Lineage: Eukaryota; Viridiplantae; Streptophyta; Magnoliopsida; Malpighiales; Euphorbiaceae
Description: long non-coding RNA (JCUR_LNC000774)
Source: RNAcentral
UAAAAAAAUUCGUCCUCGAAUUUUGAAAAUAACAAGAAACUAGGAUGCAACAAUUGUUUACGACAAUGGUGGCUGUACUUCUCACAUAAUGCUGUUGAGCAGAUAGAAGAUGAAUCAAGAAGAUGAGAUAAAUAUUUUUAAGUUCGUUAGUCAGACCAGUAGAAUUAAUUUUUAUUAAAUUAUGAAGACAAACCAAUGGGAAGAAAAUUCAAUUUAUAGGGAGGGUAGGAUGAUUAUGAGAUGAAUCUAGCCCCAAAGUUACCUACCUUAUUACCAUAGUUAAUUUAAACUUGAGUUGUACUAUAUCUAUAAGUCGUCAAGUCAAGUCAAAUAUUCAUUACCUAAAGUACAGAUUCGACACUAGUAUUCACCUUUACACGUAAGAAUUUUAAUCACUUAUAACCUCUGCUUAAGUAAGGGUUACUAAUCUUAUUAGCUCUAAAUCAUGUGUCCUUACAUUGAUGUAUCGUCAUUUAUUCUCUCACUAACUAUCAUAGGCAAAGAUCAUCUCUCCAUAAGAAACUCAUACACAAACCAAGUAUUUAAUCUUACUGAUAUAAGAAUCCGUAUCUCAAUUUGGACUCCUUAUUUUAAAAUUCAAAACCAACUAGCCAAAUUAGUUGUUGCCAUGCCGGAUAAUUCUUAAUUCAUUUUCUAAAAUUUGCUAGUACCAUUCUAUUAUACUCAAUUCCAUAAAGAAGUCCAGCCUAGAUAUAUAUAUCUAUACAUUUUUUUUUUUUUUUUUUUACAAGCUUAAUCAAAAUGUAAAAUUCUCCAAAUUGUCGUUUAUAUCCAAUUUACUUAUUUCUUCUGUCUUUAAUCAAUCUUUUAAACCUAAGUUUACGUAUUUAGAAAUCACGAAUCCUAAACAAGUAGUGCCUUUUGCUCUAGUUAAGUAAGAGAUUAAAGAUGUUAAUCCUAUAAUCUAACUCUUGAUUAAACUAUGUCCUUUGUUUUAUGUUUAUUCUUAAUCCCAUGAAUACCUAUGAAUAUUCAGAUAAUAAUAUCAUUGAGUUAUUCCUUUUUCCAAGUCUAUCAUAAUGUCUAUCACCUCCAAAAAUUGUAAAAUUUAUACCUAAUACGAUCUAGGAAUAUUUUCAACCUUAAUUAUGUUCUCUCUAUGUUCUUUACCCCAAACAAAGUUAAUACCUCAUUGAACUCUUCAAAAUGGACCUAACAAAUUAAGUAGUCUCUUAAGCCACCAGAUAUGUCACAUCUGCCAUUUAUAACACAAUUAUAUUCAUUCAAUCAUAAUUGCCAACAAUUACUAAGAACUUCAGAAUAGCUUUACAUUGACUCCAAUCAUAUCUUAAUGACUCUCAUCCCAAUCGAUAUCUUAAUAAUUCCAUGAGCAAAUUUUCAUUUAUUAAUGGUCUGAUCGACACCCAUGAGUUAGCAUUCCAAUAAUCUUAAACCAUACCAUUAUCACAUCCAAUAAUCCUAUAGUUUAUAUUUUCAGUUUUCAAAUACUACCAUGUAUUCUCCUCGCUAAAAUUGUUAAACUAUCCCAAAUUCACCUAUUUAUUCUUAUACCAAGUUUCANNNNNNNNNNNNNNNNNNNNNNNNNNNNNNNNNNNNNNNNNNNNNNNNNNNGAAAUAUUUUUGAGUUCGUUAGUCAGACCAGUAGAAUUAAUUUUUAUUAAAUUAUGAAGACAAACCAAUGGGAAGAAAAUUCAAUUUAUAGGGAGGGUAGGAUGAUUAUGAGAUGAAUCUAGCCCCAAAGUUACCUACCUUAUUACCAUAGUUAAUUUAAACUUGAGUUGUACUAUAUCUAUAAGUCGUCAAGUCAAGUCAAAUAUUCAUUACCUAAAGUACAGAUUCGACACUAGUAUUCACCUUUACACGUAAGAAUUUUAAUCACUUAUAACCUCUGCUUAAGUAAGGGUUAUUAAUCUCAUUAGCUCUAAAUCAUGUGUCCUUACAUUGAUGUAUCGUCAUUUAUUCUCUCACUAGCUAUCAUAGGCAAAGAUCAUCGCUCCAUAAGAAACUCAUACACAAACCAAGUAUUUAACCUUACUUAUAUAAGAAUCCGCAUAUUCAAUCAAAUUUACUACUAUCUCAAUUUGGACUCCUUAUUUUAAAAUUCAAAACCUACAUNNNN